RNAcentral lists this ribosomal RNA (828 nucleotides) under uncultured Staphylococcus sp. RNAcentral's name for it is "bacterial SSU rRNA". It matches the Rfam family "Bacterial small subunit ribosomal RNA", at positions 66 to 875 of the family's 1533-position model. Lineage: Bacteria; Bacillati; Bacillota; Bacilli; Caryophanales; Staphylococcaceae. The record is from RNAcentral.
GCGUCUGAUUUGAUGCUUGCAUUGAUGAAAGAUGAGCGGCGGACGGGUGAGUAACACGUGGAUAACCUACCUAUAAGACUGGGAUAACUUCGGGAAACCGGAGCUAAUACCGGAUAAUAUUUUGAACCGCAUGGUUCAAAAGUGAAAGACGGUCUUGCUGUCACUUAUAGAUGGAUCCGCGCUGCAUUAGCUAGUUGGUAAGGUAACGGCUUACCAAGGCAACGAUGCAUAGCCGACCUGAGAGGGUGAUCGGCCACACUGGAACUGAGACACGGUCCAGACUCCUACGGGAGGCAGCAGUAGGGAAUCUUCCGCAAUGGGCGAAAGCCUGACGGAGCAACGCCGCGUGAGUGAUGAAGGUCUUCGGAUCGUAAAACUCUGUUAUUAGGGAAGAACAUAUGUGUAAGUAACUGUGCACAUCUUGACGGUACCUAAUCAGAAAGCCACGGCUAACUACGUGCCAGCAGCCGCGGUAAUACGUAGGUGGCAAGCGUUAUCCGGAAUUAUUGGGCGUAAAGCGCGCGUAGGCGGUUUUUUAAGUCUGAUGUGAAAGCCCACGGCUCAACCGUGGAGGGUCAUUGGAAACUGGAAAACUUGAGUGCAGAAGAGGAAAGUGGAAUUCCAUGUGUAGCGGUGAAAUGCGCAGAGAUAUGGAGGAACACCAGUGGCGAAGGCGACUUUCUGGUCUGUAACUGACGCUGAUGUGCGAAAGCGUGGGGAUCAAACAGGAUUAGAUACCCUGGUAGUCCACGCCGUAAACGAUGAGUGCUAAGUGUUAGGGGGUUUCCGCCCCUUAGUGCUGCAGCUACGCAGUAAGCACUCCGCCUG